This 926-nucleotide long non-coding RNA is filed under the name Portunus trituberculatus (swimming crab). RNAcentral describes it as "uncharacterized LOC123519535, transcript variant X11". The record is from RNAcentral. Lineage: Eukaryota; Metazoa; Arthropoda; Malacostraca; Decapoda; Portunidae.
GAUUAGAAACGAGAGUGGGUGCCAGAUAGGAAAUACUAGUCUCAUUAUGAAGAAGGAAAGGGUGAACUAGUGCAUGCAGUUUGGCAUUGUUGUGGAAGAAGGAUGCAGAUUCCACGGAUACACACUGAAAGAGAAGCAACUGGCCACCUACCCCCACAAGAUUGUAAAAUAGCUGAUCUACACCUCCUACAUUUUAAUCUCCUGAAGGAAGGAAUGUCUGGAUCAAAGACAGAAUCACUGUCCUCAGAAUCCCCUUCAGUUGUAAUGGAGUCUUCACUGUGUUUGCUGAGGUUGUCUCUUGGGACAGGAAUCUGAUCAGCAGGGCUUAAGAGGUGGGAUGGUCCCACUUGAGGGCAGAGUUACAGCUGCCACCUUCCGGGAUACUUGGCGUGUGGUGAAGUGAUGUCCAGAGAGGUAAUUGAGAGCAACUAUCCACUGGUUUCUGAUGGGUGUGCUGCUUUCUCCAUCAGGAUUCCCAGGGAUUAUAAACAUCACUUUAUCAGCCUUCAGGAUGUGAUCUCUUGUCCAACAGUUUGGAUCCUAUGGAAAAAUUGUUUGUAUACAGUACAGAUUGCAUAUAAAUAUGCAUAUUGCAUAUGAAAUUGCAAUGUGUAUUUGCACAUAUUGUGUCUCCCUAACCUCUAUCCCCACAUCACGAUCCACCAGGUAUGGGAAGAGAUGGCAGGUGUUCUUCAGGAAAUCAGCAAACAUGUUGAUGAAUUCCAUAUACAGCUGGUUUUCUGCUAUAUAAAUAAGAAGAACUGUCGGCUGGACUUCCUGCAGGGCCUGCAGUUUAUCUGUGUGUGGAUAAAGUACCCUUAUUGUUAUAAGAAUAUUCUCAUUACUAUGAUCAAGUUAGUAACCAAUUGUGAAAUCACAUCCAUGUAUUGGUAAGCUGAUGAAAAGUAAAGAAUUUAUUACUCUAA